ACCCUUGUGGAGGAGGACGCCGAAGGUGGGGCUAAUGACUGGGGUGAAGUCGUAACAAGGUAGCCGUACCGGAAGGUGCGGCUGGAUCACCUCCUAACAGGGAGACAACAAAAUGUUUAAUAUUAUUAUUUUGUCACCUUAGGUCGAUCGGUAUCUCACGUUCUUAAUUUAUUAAGAAUUUCAUUUCCUAAGUUUUUCUAGGUCACACCCAUUAUUUUUCCUGGGCCAUUAGCUCAGGUGGUUAGAGCGCACCCCUGAUAAGGGUGAGGUCCCUGGUUCAAGUCCAGGAUGGCCCAUAUCUCUAUGUUGGGGGUAUAGCUCAGUUGGUAGAGCGCCUGCUUUGCAAGCAGGAUGUCAGCGGUUCGAGUCCGCUUACCUCCACUGAUUACCACCUCUUCCAUAAUUUGUAGAAGGGAAUGUUUUGAGUUGUGAUCAAAUUCUGAACGAAUCUAGCUUCCUAAUGAAAUUAUUAAGAUGCUGGACUCAUUGAAUUAAUUUCAUUGUUUUCAGAGAACCUUGACAACUGCAUAGAUUAUUUUUAUAGACAAUAAGCAUCUUUAAUGAUGCAGAUUUAUUAUUUGUGCGAAUGCAUUAAUAACAAUUCUAUUAAGCUGAUGCUUCAAUUAUGAAGUUAUUGGUCAAGCUACAAAGGGCUCACGGAGGAUACCUAGGCACACAGAGGCGAU
Molecule: unclassified non-coding RNA, 686 nt
Filed under: uncultured Prochlorococcus sp.
Lineage: Bacteria; Bacillati; Cyanobacteriota; Cyanophyceae; Synechococcales; Prochlorococcaceae
Description: partial may contain 16S ribosomal RNA, 16S-23S ribosomal RNA intergenic spacer, and 23S ribosomal RNA
Rfam family: Bacterial small subunit ribosomal RNA (bases 1-97)
Source: RNAcentral